CAAGACCUUGCGCUUUUGGAGCGGCCGAUGUCUGAUUAGCUAGUUGGUGAGGUAAAGGCUUACCAAGGCGUCGAUCAGUAGCUGGUCUGAGAGGACGACCAGCCACACUGGGACUGAGACACGGCCCAGACUCCUACGGGAGGCAGCAGUGGGGAAUUUUGGACAAUGGGGGAAACCCUGAUCCAGCCAUGCCGCGUGAGUGAAGAAGGCCUUCGGGUUGUAAAGCUCUUUCAGCCGGAACGAAACGGUUACGGUUAAUACCCGUGACUACUGACGGUACCGGAAGAAGAAGCACCGGCUAACUACGUGCCAGCAGCCGCGGUAAUACGUUGGGUGCGAGCGUUAAUCGGAAUUACUGGGCGUAAAGCGUGCGCAGGCGGUUUUGUAAGUCAGAUGUGAAAUCCCCGGGCUUAACCUGGGAACU
Molecule: ribosomal RNA, 424 nt
Filed under: uncultured bacterium
Lineage: Bacteria
Description: bacterial SSU rRNA
Rfam family: Bacterial small subunit ribosomal RNA
Source: RNAcentral